ACCUGCCAUCUGCAAUGUAUACAUUGUUCUAUAUGUUAUAUGUUGGAUUAAAAGAACAUUGUGCAAUCAGCAGAAUUCUAAACACAUUGUGUCAUGCAUUUAAAUAGCAUUGUAGCGAAUAUUAACUUGGGGUGGAAAGCAGGCUCCUUUUAGGGCAYGCAGAGCUCUUUCUCUUGAAGGGAGGAGACCAGCCUCAUCCCUGCUGAGGAGCUGUGUGUCAUCUCCAGCCUGCACGACACGRUACCUUCCCACGGGGACCCGGACCAUGGCACGACAGCUAGUCCUCAGCGCUGGGACCCAGCCUUCCCACCAGCAAGGUGCAUCGGCUGUCCCGUUCCCAAGGAAUAUGCGUGGUGACAKUGGCCAGUUUGAGGUACGUGAAGACAAUUUUUGCAGGAGCUACCACAUCCUCACCAUUUGCACUGGAUGAAACUUGAGGAGCUUCUUCCCCAAACUCUGCAGCGCCUACUGGGAAAGCCCGUCAGUGAGUCAUGAGAUGACAUAAACUGGCUUCUGUCGUGCAAACAGAGGUAAGCAAAGGGUUAGUGU
This 549-nucleotide long non-coding RNA is filed under the name Dromaius novaehollandiae (emu). RNAcentral's name for it is "lncRNA (ENSDNVG00000001402.1)". The record is from RNAcentral. Lineage: Eukaryota; Metazoa; Chordata; Aves; Casuariiformes; Dromaiidae.